Hucho hucho (huchen) is the source of this 55-nucleotide small nuclear RNA. Its record names the gene U7. It matches the Rfam family "U7 small nuclear RNA". From Rfam's summary of the family: Animal histone pre-mRNAs are spliced by a different mechanism than nuclear pre-mRNAs and self-splicing introns. This processing involves the U7 snRNP, which contains only one RNA species: U7. The 5' end of U7 RNA is thought to base-pair to a conserved spacer element downstream of the cleavage site in histone pre-mRNA. The record is from Ensembl. NCBI's taxonomy places the organism in Eukaryota, Metazoa, Chordata, Actinopteri, Salmoniformes, Salmonidae.
GAGCAUUUGCUCUUUUAGUAUUUGUCCAGUAGGUUUCCUGAUGAAGAAAGCCUCC